RNAcentral lists this ribosomal RNA (396 nucleotides) under Theileria sp. OT3. RNAcentral describes it as "SSU rRNA". It matches the Rfam family "Eukaryotic small subunit ribosomal RNA", at positions 503 to 925 of the family's 1831-position model. Lineage: Eukaryota; Apicomplexa; Aconoidasida; Piroplasmida; Theileriidae. The record is from RNAcentral.
AUGUAAUUGGGAUGAUGGGGAUUUAAACCUCUUCCAGAGUAUCCCUUUGGAGGGCAAGUCUAAUGCCAGCAGCCGCGGUAAUUCCAGCUCCCCUAGCGUAUAUUAAAAUUGUUGCAGUUAAAAAGCUCGUAGUUGAAUUUCUGCUGUAUUGCAUUUUCUCUUUUUAUAUGAGUUUUUGCUUUAUGGCUUAUUUCAGUAUUAAUUUUUUAUUAUUACUGAAUGUUUACUUUGAGAAAAUUAGAGUGCUCAAAGCAGGCUUUUGCCUUGAAUAGUUUAGCAUGGAAUAAUAAAGUAGGACUUUGGUUCUAUUUUGUUGGUUUUAGGUACCAAAGUAAUGGUUAAUAGGAACAGUUGGGGGCAUUCGUAUUUAACUGUCAAAAGGUGAAAUUCUUAGAC